CUGGUUCAGGAUGAACGCUAGCGACAGGCCUAACACAUGCAAGUCAGGGGCAGCACAAGGAGCAAUCUGAGGUGGCGACCGGCGCACGGGUGAGUAACACGUAUGCAACCUGCCUGUAAGCGGGGAAUAACCCGUUGAAAGACGGACUAAUACCGCAUAAUACUAAAUUACUGCAUGGUAAUUUAUUUAAACAUUUAUGGCUUACAGAUGGGCAUGCGCAUGAUUAGCUAGUUGGAGAGGUAACGGCUCCCCAAGGCAACGAUCAUUAGGGGUUCUGAGAGGAAGGUCCCCCACACUGGUACUGAGACACGGACCAGACUCCUACGGGAGGCAGCAGUGAGGAAUAUUGGUCAAUGGACGAGAGUCUGAACCAGCCAAGUCGCGUGCAGGAAGAAUGUCCUAUGGAUUGUAAACUGCUUUUGCAGGGGAAUAAAGUGCAUCACGUGUGAUGUUUUGUAUGUACUCUGCGAAUAAGGAUCGGCUAACUCCGUGCCAGCCGCCGC
This 503-nucleotide ribosomal RNA is filed under the name uncultured bacterium. RNAcentral describes it as "bacterial SSU rRNA". It matches the Rfam family "Bacterial small subunit ribosomal RNA", at positions 19 to 518 of the family's 1533-position model. The record is from RNAcentral.